AGUGGGGGAUAACGUAGCGAAAGUUACGCUAAUACCGCAUAUGCCCUGAGGGGGAAAGGAGGGGAUCGUAAGACCUUUCGCUUUCGGAGUGGCCGAUAUCAGAUUAGCUAGUUGGUGAGGUAAAGGCUCACCAAGGCGACGAUCUGUAGCGGGUCUGAGAGGAUGAUCCGCCACACUGGGACUGAGACACGGCCCAGACUCCUACGGGAGGCAGCAGUGGGGAAUUUUGGACAAUGGGGGCAACCCUGAUCCAGCCAUGCCGCGUGAGUGAAGAAGGCCUUCGGGUUGUAAAGCUCUUUCAGCCGGAAAGAAAUCAUGCUUACUAAUACUAAGUGUGGAUGACGGUACCGGAAGAAGAAGCACCGGCUAACUACGUGCCAGCAGCCGCGGUAAUACGUAGGGUGCGAGCGUUAAUCGGAAUUACUGGGCGUAAAGCGUGCGCAGGCGGUUUUUUAAGACAGACGUGAAAUCCCCGGGCUUAACCUGGGAACUGCGUUUGUGACUGGAAGGCUAGAGUGCGGCAGAGGGGGGUAGAAUUCCA
RNAcentral lists this ribosomal RNA (541 nucleotides) under uncultured Gallionellaceae bacterium. RNAcentral describes it as "bacterial SSU rRNA". It matches the Rfam family "Bacterial small subunit ribosomal RNA", at positions 135 to 671 of the family's 1533-position model. Lineage: Bacteria; Pseudomonadati; Pseudomonadota; Betaproteobacteria; Nitrosomonadales; Gallionellaceae. The record is from RNAcentral.